This 1444-nucleotide ribosomal RNA is filed under the name bacterium YY1. RNAcentral's name for it is "bacterial SSU rRNA". It matches the Rfam family "Bacterial small subunit ribosomal RNA". The record is from RNAcentral.
CCUUGCGCAGCUAUAAUGCAGUCGAGCGAACAGAUGAGAAGCUUGCUUCUCUGAUGUUAGCGGCGGACGGGUGAGUAACACGUGGGUAACCUACCUAUAAGACUGGGAUAACUCCGGGAAACCGGGGCUAAUACCGGAUAAUAUUUUGAACCGCAUGGUUCAAUAGUGAAAGACGGUUUCGGCUGUCACUUAUAGAUGGACCCGCGCCGUAUUAGCUAGUUGGUAAGGUAACGGCUUACCAAGGCGACGAUACGUAGCCGACCUGAGAGGGUGAUCGGCCACACUGGAACUGAGACACGGUCCAGACUCCUACGGGAGGCAGCAGUAGGGAAUCUUCCGCAAUGGGCGAAAGCCUGACGGAGCAACGCCGCGUGAGUGAUGAAGGUCUUCGGAUCGUAAAACUCUGUUGUUAGGGAAGAACAAAUUUGUUAGUAACUGAACAAGUCUUGACGGUACCUAACCAGAAAGCCACGGCUAACUACGUGCCAGCAGCCGCGGUAAUACGUAGGUGGCAAGCGUUAUCCGGAAAUUAUUGGGCGUAAAGCGCGCGUAGGCGGGUUUCUUAAGUCUGAUGUGAAAGCCCACGGCUCAACCCGUGGAGGGUCAUUGGAAACUGGGAAACUUGAGUGCAGAAGAGGAGAGUGGAAUUCCAUGUGUAGCGGUGAAAUGCGCAGAGAUAUGGAGGAACACCAGUGGCGAAGGCGGCUCUCUGGUCUGUAACUGACGCUGAUGUGCGAAAGCGUGGGGAUCAAACAGGAUUAGAUACCCUGGUAGUCCACGCCGUAAACGAUGAGUGCUAAGUGUUAGGGGGUUUCCGCCCCUUAGUGCUGCAGCUAACGCAUUAAGCACUCCGCCUGGGGAGUACGACCGCAAGGUUGAAACUCAAAGGAAUUGACGGGGACCCGCACAAGCGGUGGAGCAUGUGGUUUAAUUCGAAGCAACGCGAAGAACCUUACCAAAUCUUGACAUCCUUUGACCGCUCUAGAGAUAGAGUCUUCCCCUUCGGGGGACAAAGUGACAGGUGGUGCAUGGUUGUCGUCAGCUCGUGUCGUGAGAUGUUGGGUUAAGUCCCGCAACGAGCGCAACCCUUAAGCUUAGUUGCCAUCAUUAAGUUGGGCACUCUAGGUUGACUGCCGGUGACAAACCGGAGGAAGGUGGGGAUGACGUCAAAUCAUCAUGCCCCUUAUGAUUUGGGCUACACACGUGCUACAAUGGAUAAUACAAAGGGCAGCGAAUCCGCGAGGCCAAGCAAAUCCCAUAAAAUUAUUCUCAGUUCGGAUUGUAGUCUGCAACUCGACUACAUGAAGCUGGAAUCGCUAGUAAUCGUAGAUCAGCAUGCUACGGUGAAUACGUUCCCGGGUCUUGUACACACCGCCCGUCACACCACGAGAGUUUGUAACACCCGAAGCCGGUGGAGUAACCUUUUAGGAGCUAGCCGUCGAAG